UACAGGGGGGGCAAGCGUUGUUCGGAAUUACUGGGCGUAAAGGGCACGUAGGCGGAUGUGUCAGUCAGGGGUGAAAUCCCGGGGCUCAACCUCGGAACUGCCUUUGAUACAGCACGUCUCGAGUCCGGAAGAGGUGGGUGGAAUUCCUAGUGUAGAGGUGAAAUUCGUAGAUAUUAGGAAGAACGCCGGUGGCGAAGGCGGCCCACUGGUCCGGUACUGACGCUGAGGUGCGAAAGCGUGGGGAGCAAACAGG
RNAcentral lists this ribosomal RNA (253 nucleotides) under uncultured bacterium. Its description in RNAcentral is "partial 16S ribosomal RNA". It matches the Rfam family "Bacterial small subunit ribosomal RNA", at positions 524 to 776 of the family's 1533-position model. The record is from RNAcentral.